GGAAUUGUCCUCACUUGGUCAAGCUCUGCUGUGGAUGCCUGGUCCCUGGAAGUCAGACUGAUGGAGCCACUGGGUCAGGGAAGUCAGUGUCAGGAGGGCCCUAGAGAGGCAGGCAACAGGAGUUCCUGGCUGAUGUUUCCUGAAUGGGAGAAUGGAAGCGCAGAGAUGAAGAUCACACAGCUAUGUGGUGGAGUCGGGGUUUAUACAAAGGCAGUGUCUUAAACAUGAUACCAAAACAUAGCCGGAUGCUGGGCAGUAGGUGAGAUCUCCGCAUGCUUGUAGCACAAAGAAUUGGGAUUUUGCUGGGAUCACAAACAUGAAUAUGAUAAACAUACCAUCAACAACUUGAACUCAUUCCAGUGAAGUGGUCUGGAACUGAACCCACAGGAUCUCGCAGAUAUGCCUAUAUUAGGAUGAGAAGGAACAAAGAUGAAUGCUACCCUAUGGGAACUAUAUACUCAAUUCUUUGGGAAUUGUGAUUUGCAGCUCUUUAAGUGAAUCUAGAAAUCUGGUUACUGGAUAAAUUAUUAAAUAAUUUCAUUCCUUGUGUAUUAAAAAUUCAACAUUUACCAAUGAAUAGUUUUCAAAUAUAUUAUAAUAUCUUUCUCAACUAUCUGUUCUAAAAUAAAUGUCUACUUUCCCUUUGAGUGUUUCAAAAUCACACUUUAGUCUAUUGUGUGUAUAUAUAUAUAAACAUACACACACACACACACAUAUAUGUAAGAUAUAUUAAAGAACUUUGAGAACUGUUUCUUGGCCCCUCAGAAACAUCAGUGUCAUAAUAAAAAUCCAACUCUUUGUAAAAGGCACUGAUUAAUAUAGCUUUUUCCCCUUAGCUACUGAAUGAUUUAUCAACUAUUUAUUGGACUUCAGAAAGGAGUUCAUAAAAAUGGAAAAUAAUAAUUAAAAUCCCCUGAGGGUUAUUAGUUACUAGUUGACUUUCUUGAACCCAUUACCUUACAUAAUAAAAAUUAUCCCUACACUGUAUGUCUCUCUGUAAUCUGUUUGAAUGCUUAUACUUACACAGUUAAUCUUUUCUAAGUAAUAAUCUCAUGUUAUGUUUUUAUUCUGUUAUUCUCAAAAAUAGAGCAGAGAGCAGGAAACUUCUAAUUCUGAAUCUGUUAUUACAUAAAACCAUUUGUAAACCUC
This is a long non-coding RNA of Canis lupus familiaris (dog), 1149 nucleotides long. RefSeq lists it as uncharacterized. The record is from RefSeq and is a predicted model, not a curated record. The transcript has 4 exons. NCBI's taxonomy places the organism in Eukaryota, Metazoa, Chordata, Mammalia, Carnivora, Canidae.